RNAcentral lists this ribosomal RNA (436 nucleotides) under Thermonectus intermedius. RNAcentral describes it as "partial 16S ribosomal RNA". The record is from RNAcentral. Lineage: Eukaryota; Metazoa; Arthropoda; Insecta; Coleoptera; Dytiscidae.
GUCCUCUUGAUAAUAAUUUGAGGUUUAACCUGCCCACUGAGGAUUUUAACGGCCGCAGUAAUUUGACUGUGCAAAGGUAGCAUAAUCAUUAGUUUUUUAAUUAAAAGCUUGUAUGAAGGGUUGGACGAGGUAAAAUCUGUCUCUAUUUAAUUUAUAGUAGAAUUUAAUUUUUAAGUUAAAAAGCUUAAAUUUAAAUAAAAGACGAGAAGACCCUAUAGAUCUUUAUAAUAUUUAAAUUAAUUUUAAUUAAGAAUUUUUUAUUAAUUAAUUUAAAUAUUAUUUUAUUGGGGUAAUGAAAAGAUUUAAAAAAUUCUUUUUUAAUUUAUACAUUGAUUAAUGAAUAAAUGAUCCAAUUAUUUUGAUUAUAAGAUUAAGUUACCUUAGGGAUAACAGCGUAAUUUUUUUAGAGAGUUCUUAUCGAUAAAAAAGUUUGCGA